CCUACGGGUGGCAGCAGUCGAGAAUCUUUCACAAUGGGGGCAACCCUGAUGGAGCGACGCCGCGUGGAGGAUAAGGUCUUCGGAUUGUAAACUCCUGUCAUGCGAGAACAAGGUUGCAGGGCUAACACCUUUGCAAAUUGAUGGUACCGCAAGAGGAAGAGACGGCUAACUCUGUGCCAGCAGCCGCGGUAAUACAGAGGUCUCAAGCGUUGUUCGGAAUCACGCGGAGGUGAGGGUGUGUGUGUGGCGUGAAAGCCCGGGGAUCAACCUCGGAAUUGCAUCCGAUACUGCCAGGCUGGAGUACUGAAGAGGUGACUAGAAUUCUAGGUGUAGCAGUGAAAUGCGUAGAUAUCUAGAGGAAUACCAACGGCGAAGGCAGGUCACUGGGCAGUUACUGACACUGAGGCACGAAGGCCAGGGGAGCAAACGGGAUUAGAUACCCCUGUAGUC
This 450-nucleotide ribosomal RNA is filed under the name uncultured bacterium. Its description in RNAcentral is "partial 16S ribosomal RNA". It matches the Rfam family "Bacterial small subunit ribosomal RNA", at positions 338 to 795 of the family's 1533-position model. The record is from RNAcentral.